CGGAGGGGGCAAGCGUUGUUCGGAUUUACUGGGCGUAAAGGGCGCGUAGGCGGAUGUUCGCGUCAGAGGUGAAAGCCCCGGGCUCAACCUGGGAACUGCCUUUGAAACGGGACAUCUUGAGUUCGGAAGAGGGUAGCGGAAUUCCCAGUGUAGAGGUGAAAUUCGUAGAUAUUGGGAAGAACACCAGUAGCGAAGGCGGCUACCUGGUCCGACACUGACGCUGAGGCGCGAAAGCGUGGGGAGCAAACAGGAUUAGAUACCCGUGUAGUCCCUGAGCGGG
RNAcentral lists this ribosomal RNA (280 nucleotides) under uncultured prokaryote. Its description in RNAcentral is "partial 16S ribosomal RNA". It matches the Rfam family "Bacterial small subunit ribosomal RNA", at positions 526 to 803 of the family's 1533-position model. The record is from RNAcentral.